GAGUGAGGGAGGGGAUGACUAGUGACAGAGUGAGGGAGGGAAGUGGUGACUAGUGACAGAGGGAAGGGUGACUAGGGACAGAGUGAGGGAGGUUGUGACUAGUGACAGUCACCACCUCCCUCACUGUCACUAGUCACCCCCUCCCUCACUCUGUCACCAGUCAUCCCCUCACUCUGUCACUAGUCACCCCUUCCUUCCCUCACUCUGCCACUAGUCACCCCUUCCUUCCCUCACUC
Molecule: non-coding RNA, 236 nt
Organism: Pelobates cultripes (western spadefoot toad)
Lineage: Eukaryota; Metazoa; Chordata; Amphibia; Anura; Pelobatidae
Source: the annotation of a GenBank genome assembly